Molecule: long non-coding RNA, 1178 nt
Filed under: Homo sapiens (human)
Lineage: Eukaryota; Metazoa; Chordata; Mammalia; Primates; Hominidae
Description: HSALNT0238635
Source: RNAcentral
UGAUGUGAAAAUUAAUUUAGUCAUAUCUUGUCCAAACUAAAAACAUUGAACCAUUUUAAAGGAAAGCAGCUUCCCAAUGUUGCCAUAUAUUGUUUUAAAAUAAUUGUAAAAAGUAGUUGCUCACGUAACAGCACUGGGCCUGCCAUUGACCUUGCACGAGAUGCCUCACACACAUCUGAGAGGCUGUUACUGUGGACGCAGUCCUCAGUGCUGCUGCUGCAUGGGACCCUGCUUCAGAGGAGCUCUGCAACAGCAAAAGUGCCAAGCAGAUCGAAGAGGACACAGCAGGACCAUGUGGGGCCCUCCUCCCAGUGGAAGCUUCCUGACACAGCCUGCACCCCAGUGGACUUCCCAAAGCAAGUUGAGUCUGACUUCGCACCCCUGACAUCAGAAUCAUCUGACUUCUGGGCACGCCACUGAAUACUGAUGUACCUGAAGGAACCCUGGGGUGUAUGAAGAAAGGGCUUCAGCAGAAACAGAGGCUGAAGCCUGCGUGCUGGGGGCCGAGAGGCCAGAGGAGAAUGUGAUGAGACAUAGAAUUGGUAGUGCAGGAAGUUGGAAGAUCAAGUACCGUGAUGUUGGUGCUGGCUGCUUGUGUUAAACUGCCUAGGUUUUAAUCUACGGUAAUUUUCGCCCACCUGUGGGGCUCCCCUGGUGCCCCAGCUGUGAUGGGGUAACUGAACUGCCACCAGGGCCAAGCUGUCAGUGGCCCAGGAUCUGGCGCUUGGAAGAGUUCUGAGAAGCACCCCUGGAUCAAAUGAGGAGAAACAGACUUCAUCCAUACCUAUUCCCAUUGUAUUUAAAGAAGUGAAUAUUCUCAGGGAUUUCCACAGUUUUAAAAGUGUCUUUCAAUUAAAACAUUUAAAAUAAAAUAAGGUUGAGGUAACAACCAAGUUACACUUCUUCCAGCAGCACCCAGACAGCGAGAGCCCUCAGAUUUUAGAAUUUUAGAAGAGAAGAUUGUGGCCAUGUCUGGAAUUCAAAGAAGAACCAGUGAGAAGAGCUAGAUAGAACUGAUGGAUGCUGAAACAUCUAAUAUUAAAAUAGAAGGGCAACCCUAAAUGAUAAUAUAAAAUUACAAUAUUAAUGGUAGAGUAAUUAAGGAAGCCAUUAAUGUUGAAUUAUGUAUGUGUAUGUUAAACCUAUAAAUUAAAAUAUCAUGAACAUUAUACCAUCUG